Long non-coding RNA from Passer montanus (Eurasian tree sparrow), 809 nucleotides. RefSeq lists it as uncharacterized. The transcript is spliced from 3 exons. Lineage: Eukaryota; Metazoa; Chordata; Aves; Passeriformes; Passeridae. The record is from RefSeq and is a predicted model, not a curated record.
AUUUAGGGAUCGUGAGGGGAAAUUGGGAGUUCUGAGGGGUGAAAUCGAGGGUCGUGAGGGAAAAUCGGGGGUCGUGAGGGGAGAUAGAGGGUUCUGAGGAGGAUUCGGGUGUCUUGGUCGAGGGUUAUGGCGGGAGUUUGAGAUCUUGAGGGGAGAUCGGGGAUCAUGAGGGGGGAUCGGAGGUUCUGAAGGGGAUUCGGGGGUAGUGAGGGGAGAUCGGGACUCGUGAGAGGAGAUCCGGGGUCUUGAGGGGAGGGUUAUGACGGGAAUUGGGGAUCGUGAGGGUAGAUCGGGGGUUCUGAGGGGGAUUCGGGGGUCGUGAGGGGAGAUCGGGGGUCAUGACUUGAAUUUGGGGAUCGUGAGGGGGGAUCGGGGCUCUCUGGGCAAUCCGGGCUCUCUCGCCACCGGUGUUGGGGGGGAUUUUUGGCUGUCUCUGCGGGCAAACAAAACGCUGGCCCGGCGAGGUGGAGGAUUUGGGGUUCCCGGUCACUUUUGUGGGGGGCUGUCGCGGUGAUGAUGCCAAAGACUAGAGUCUCCGAGCCCCCUGAGGACAGCACCGGCCUGAGCGACGCCCCCAGCCCCCUCUGAAUCCCCCCCGGGUCCCCCCGAACCGCGCCUCUCACCCCGUUCCUCUGCCGCAGGUGCCGGUGACCGGCGGGACCGCGCCGAGACCCCCGCCCCGGAGGAAUCCUCGGCGCCCGCAGCUCCGCCGCGCGGUGGGAGGCGGCCAGGGCGCGGCUUUGGGUGGAAAAAAGAAAAAAAAAAUAGAAAAAAAAAAGGUCGAGGCCACCGAGGGACAAAAUCAGGAG